RNAcentral lists this ribosomal RNA (296 nucleotides) under uncultured bacterium. RNAcentral describes it as "partial 16S ribosomal RNA". It matches the Rfam family "Bacterial small subunit ribosomal RNA", at positions 15 to 307 of the family's 1533-position model. The record is from RNAcentral.
GAUCCUGGCUCAGGAUGAACGCUGGCGGCGUGCCUAACACAUGCAAGUCGAACGGUUAAGGCGGCUUCGGCCGCGUAUAAAGUGGCGAACGGGUGAGUAACGCGUGACCGACCUUCCCCCCGCACCGGGACAACCGCGGGAAACCGCGGCUGAUACCGGGUACUCCGGGGCCCCGCAUGGGGGCCGACGGAAGCUCGGCGGGCGGGGAGUGGGUCGCCGUCCCAUCGAGGUAGUAGGGCGGGACGAACCGGCCCACCUACGCCGACGGACGGGUAGGCCGGGUUGAGACGACCCGG